UCUCGCGAGAUUUGAGGAGCCAAUCCGCGAUGUCUUCCCAGGUGCUAGGCUGAAGCAACAAGUGCUUAACAUGAGGCGAAACACAAGUCAAGACACAUGGAAACACGGGGAGACUUCAGUGUGCAGUAAAUGGAUUUAAAAUAGAUCACACUGAUGCUGUUAAUCCUUCAAGCCCCAAAACAUUCCCAUGGCUUUGGUCUUGCUCAUCAGUCUGAUGUCAUCCACCCGUGGAUUGAAUUUAACUACCCCCUCUUCUGAAUACCAAGUAGCACUAGGAGAAGACAUCAGCCUCGGAUGCCAUUUCACCCUUGAUCCUGUGGAUUUUGGUUCCUUGGAGAUUGAGUGGACCGUCGACCGUUCACAUGGUCGAGUGGAAAAGGAACACCUCAUCUGUUACAUUGAUGAUGUAGUGCACCACUUCUUAGGUUUUGAAGGCCGAUUCUACUUUUCCUAUCCAGAUCCCCAAGAUGGAGAUGCUUCACUAACCAUUACACGUAUUAAAAUCAUUGACAGUGGUAUUUGCCAUUGUAAAGUAACAAAGGGUAGGGAAAUCCAAAGCAGGCAGACUAAGCUGAUGGUAAUGGAGGAGGUGUCUGUGCCAGUUCAUGGUUCCAAUGGUGGCACAAUGUGGACUUAAAGCUGAGGAACAGGUCUUCAUUAGUCACCACCUUCCCUGCAAACUGCAGUUUGUGGACAUCUACCGAAACUUCUGCAAGCACUCAAGAAGACUUGUCUUCACAAGGCAAUGCAAAAAAUACCACAGGAACCACCACAGGAACUAUCACAGGAACCUACCGAGAUUUUGGAAAGGUCCAUGACAUUGCUGAAACCCCCACGGUUGAUUUAAGCCUCACCACGGAAUCUCAAAACACUUCAUCACAGGAUAGGGGAGUAUCGAUCGGAGUGGCUGCUACCAUUACUUUCAUUGUCAUAAUUUCAGCAGGCACAAUUUUCUCCUGCCGGAAACAAAAAAGACAGCAGAAGUCUGAAGAAAAUGUCUCAGCUGAUGAAGCAAAGUGUGCCCGUACACAGCCAGAAAGGACCGCGAUUGUAGACAUUGUGGAGAAGACCUGGAAUUUGUGGGAGAAAAUGGGCAUGGAACUUGAAGACAUACCCAAAAACCUUAUGGACAUUAAGGGGAUUCCACAAGAUUCCACAGAAGAGGUACCUUAAACACAGAAUGUUGAUUUUGAGGAUGUACAGGUUAUGGGAGCAUUACCUCCAGAGGUGACCAGCUUGUGAGCUUUAAUUCAGCCCAAAGUAAGGCAUCUGUUAGACUGAGAAAGAUUUUACCCUAAAGGGUCUUGUACAGACAAGUUUGGUCUCAUCACAGUUGUAUACUGAGAAAAUGGAUUGGCCCUUCUGAGCCACAGGACCACUUGGGGCCAUCACUGAAUUGAAAAUGGUUGUAAUGUUAAUAGAAGAAUGUAUUACAUUACAUUCUGACAUAAUGUAUCAUAGCUAGAAUUUGGUUAUAGUAUGGUCACAUGGAAAUGUUGAUUUUCAACAGCUAUCAUACAAAGAUAGUGGAAAAUAUUGACUUGUUGGGUGUUUUCCCCUGGAUAUACUUAGAUAGUGGACCAAAGUGUGUAUACUGAGAUAUUGGAUGCUGAUACUUCAUAAAUAGGGAUACAGAGAUCCAACUCUUGUUAAUGUUUCCAAUGUUAAGUGAAGUUUGAGUUCACUUUGGUUAAAUAAACUUUUCUCGAGUU
This is a long non-coding RNA of Scatophagus argus, 1712 nucleotides long. RefSeq lists it as uncharacterized. NCBI's taxonomy places the organism in Eukaryota, Metazoa, Chordata, Actinopteri, Scatophagidae. The record is from RefSeq and is a predicted model, not a curated record. The transcript is spliced from 5 exons.